GCAGAACAGACGCGCGCUCUUCCUCUUCUCUUCGAAACCAAGGGCGAAGAAUGCUACUCUUCCUCCCUCCACCGCCCUAACCCACGCCUUCAGAAUUAGAGACAUCAUCGAAUCGCAGUUCACCAGAAGCCCGAAAUCGCACCAUCAUCGUAAAUCACCAGGAAGCCCUAAAUCGACACUCACCAUCGUCGCACCAUCAUCAUCGCUGCAUCCUUCCCAAAAUUGUUGCUGCCUCCUCCUUCCCGGCGUCGCUGAGUCUCUCCUCUUCGCGGCGUUGCUGCUUCUCCCCUCUCUGUGGCUUCAGUGCUUUUCCGUUCUCCGUGGCAUCCUUGCGUCUUCUGCUUCGCUGCUUCUCCCCUGUUCUGCUUCGCUGUUUCUGCUUUGCUGCUGUUGCUUCACUGCAUCGGCCGUUUGUGGAUUGUCAUCUGUGUAGGUUUGCAUAUAAAAUCUAUGGGUAAUGACACCACUGUAACGCCGUCGUCCCUCUAGACAUCGCUGCUUCUGAAUCCCCUGUCAUUGGUUCUCUGCCUCCUCAUUGUGGCUCAACCUCUGUUUAGGUAACUCAAAUGUCUCUUAUUUUGUGAGUUUAAUUGAUUUGGUUUCUAUUUUGAUUUGAAGAAUUUUACAGAGUAGAAGUGUAGAAGGAACCUAACCAUUGCAAUACUCUUAACAUUCUUGAUCCAAAUUAUUUUAUUUAUCAUCUACACUCAAUAUUUGUAUAACAAAAAGUCCUACUGUAUUGUUAAGCUUCUAUUAAUUUGUUAACAAAGUAGAACCCUACUGUUAUAGUUAAGCUUCUACAUGAAUAAGCUUCUUUCAAAGAAAUGGAACAUGGCUCAAAUAUGACUUUUGAUUUAGUCCCUUAACUUAUUAUUUAGUGUUUGUUUUGGGAAAGACAGUGUUAUGUUAGUAAGGGGUUGCUUGGAUUUCUUGGACUUCUUAAUAUUCUUAUUUUUCUUCCAAUUGCCCUCAUACUCAAUUUCACCAAACUGGAACCUUUUCAUCACUUACCUUGAAGCAGCUUGGUCUGAUCAUUGGCAAAGGUCAGUUAUUCAUUAUUAUUAGUAGCUUGACAUUGUGGUUUAGUUCUUUUACUUUCAUAUUCAUUGCAUAGGACAAUAAUUUGUGCAUUUUUUAUCCUUUGAAUCUACCGCUGCUUGUGCAAUCUGAUGAUGAGAAUUUUUUUUAAUGGUCGAAUAUAUGGCUAAAUUUUUGCAUAGGACGAUAAUUGGUUUCCAUGUUGUGUUUGUAAUUGAAACAGCCUAAUCUAAAUAAGUUUGUAUCCCUUGGAAGGCCAGCGUGGAAGGAAGCUUGUGCUACUCUUCAAUAGCUCUUUUCAGAUCCUCUGCUGGUGAAGGCUGCCAGAGGAGAACCUGUUAGACGGCCACCAGCAAGGAUGAUUUUGUCUUCAUGAUAUAUUUGAGCAUUGUUUGUGUAUUGACAUUUGACAAAUCUGUUUGUGGUUCUUUCAACCAAAGCACUCUAGCUUCUCAAGCAAAGAACAUGGUCUCUGCUCCCAUCCUUUUCAUUCUUUCUUUUUCUUAAUUCAUAAUUAAGGAAGAUACUAAUAUACUUGAGUUUUUUCUAACUUAGCCUUUACUUAUUGGGUUCAAAUCAGAAUUUUUAUAGCAUGAAGUAUAUACUGUCUUUAAAUUCGCCAGACAAGGUUGGUACAUAACUUUGUGUUUGUCUUUUUAAUGCUUAUUAUUCGGGUUUUCUAAUUUGUCAAAAAUGUUUAUACAAAUAAAGAUCAGAUUUAAAAUUCUUUCUAGUUCUUUAUGUGGAGCAGUUACCAUUAAAGCCAAAAGAGUCCACUCAAGCUGGGUUACCACACUAACUUUGUUGAAGAAAAAUGAAGAAAUUGUCACCCUUAGGCUAUAGUAUUUUUGUAUUUUGAAAAAUGAUGAUGAUAUAAGUAAAAGUAAUUAUGACCUAAACUAGUAUUAUGUUAUUUUGCAAUGAUGAUAUAUUGUGAUUGUGGAUCUUACAACCAUUUUUUUAAGUCA
Molecule: long non-coding RNA, 2006 nt
Organism: Arachis duranensis
Lineage: Eukaryota; Viridiplantae; Streptophyta; Magnoliopsida; Fabales; Fabaceae
Exons: 4
Source: RefSeq, a predicted model, not a curated record